RNAcentral lists this non-coding RNA (26 nucleotides) under Drosophila melanogaster (fruit fly). Lineage: Eukaryota; Metazoa; Arthropoda; Insecta; Diptera; Drosophilidae. The record is from RNAcentral.
AACUCUGACGAGGAAGAUAGGACUAU